GUGCUGGUACCCAGCAUUCGGGUCUCCGACACCCGUCCAGAGAGACGCUUGCUGCCUUCUCUCCUGCCUCGUCGCCUUCCACUUAUAAACAUCCAUCUCAAACUUUCCAAAACUCACAAGACUUCACCCUCAAGUCAGGGCAAUCAAAGCCUCCUGAUGUCCGAGAGAAACUUCUCGCUAACUCUAAGUCUAAAUGUCAGGUUCUCACAAGUGAGGUAGACAUUAGCUGACAUUCAGUCACAUCUUGGCAAGUUUAGCCUUGCUCUGAGGAAGGUAUCCUUCUUAAUCUAUCAAAACCUCAAAUAAUUCAAAUUAUCAACAAUUCAUUGCCUCUUACAAAACUAAAUUGGUGCGCGCCUCAGCGCACUGCCCUCUCCCUUCUCUCCCGUGAAAAACGUAAAACAGAAUCAAACUGGGACUUUCAGAACACUGAAAAAACUGAAAGAGACUCUAAUAUCAGUCAAACUUAUCAAGGAAGAGCAUCAGCACACGAUCUUUAGCAACAUCUUCAGUCCAGGAGAGGACUGCUGCUCGCACGGAGUGGGAGUCAGCUGUUGUUGGGUCCAAUAUCCAUCACUUUUAGCAAGGGUUUCCUGGAAAAUUAUUCAUGAAAUACAAAACAUAGUGUGGUGAGACCAGCUGACUGUUGUCAUGACGACGAUGACGCUCUUCCAGACCACAUCGUUGUUGGUCCUGAUACUCUCUGCCUGGUCUCUGACCGCUCAAGAAACUGAUCACUCCCAGGCCAGUUCGCCAGAGUUCCUUUACAGUGUCGAAA
Cherax quadricarinatus is the source of this 778-nucleotide non-coding RNA. The record is from RefSeq and is a predicted model, not a curated record. NCBI's taxonomy places the organism in Eukaryota, Metazoa, Arthropoda, Malacostraca, Decapoda, Parastacidae.